GUGUCAGCCGCCGCGGUAAUACGGAGGGGGCAAGCGUUACUCGGAAUUAUUGGGCGUAAAGGGCGCGUAGGCGGUCCCGCACGUCGGAGGUGAAAUCCCCGGGCUCAACCCGGGAGCUGCCUCCGAUACGGCGGGGCUUGAGUCCGGGAGAGGGGAGCAGAAUUCCCAGUGUAGCGGUGAAAUGCGUAGAUAUUGGGAGGAAUACCGGUGGCGAAGGCGGCUCCCUGGACCGGUACUGACGCUGAGGCGCGAAAGCGUGGGUAGCAAACAGGAUUAGAAACCCCAGUAGUCC
Molecule: ribosomal RNA, 292 nt
Filed under: uncultured bacterium
Lineage: Bacteria
Description: partial 16S ribosomal RNA
Rfam family: Bacterial small subunit ribosomal RNA
Source: RNAcentral